Molecule: ribosomal RNA, 684 nt
Filed under: Ostreopsis lenticularis
Lineage: Eukaryota; Dinophyceae; Peridiniales; Ostreopsidaceae
Description: eukaryotic LSU rRNA
Rfam family: Eukaryotic large subunit ribosomal RNA
Source: RNAcentral
CAUACCCGUUGAGCAAUGUCAUAUCACCCGCUGAACUUAAGCAUAUCAGUAAGCAGAGGAGCUGCAUCCAACUUGGAUUUUGUAAGUAAUUGCGAAUGAUUGCAAACCAUGUCUACCAUUGUAAAUGUUGCAUGACAUGCGCAAUAAAUUGUAUGAUCAUGGCAUGCUGCUACCAAUGAGCACAUAGAUAUGUUUCUUUUUGAAACAGAGGAGCAUGGAAUGUGAGAGUCAUGCUUGUUUGCAAAACAUUGUGUACAGUGUGUGUCUUGAAAAUCACAUUCCUUGCCAAUGGAAUGCUAACAAACAUGGUAGUGUUCAUGAAGAAGCACAUGCUUUUGAGAUUCAUGAUGUGCAAGUACCAUGAGGGAAAUGUGAAAUGGACUUUGAAAAGAAAUUUAAAUAGAGCCCACAAUUGCUAUCCAWUUUGUGCAAGUGAAACUCAAUAUGACAAUGUUGAAUUUUUGAUUAGGAUUCCAUUUGUGAAUGAUGACACUGUUACCAACCAAUAUGGCUGCACCCUUGUAUAAAACUUCAAUGUGUGUACAUUGUUCUUGUGUUGGACAUGCUGGCAUGUUUGCAAUUCUGUGCAAUAUAUAAGUCUUGUCUGUGUGUGUCCUCAAUAUUAACACUUGAAAUGGUCCAACAGCAUGCGCUUUUUGUUGUUGAAUGUUUCCACUUGACCCG